This 490-nucleotide ribosomal RNA is filed under the name uncultured bacterium. Its description in RNAcentral is "partial 16S ribosomal RNA". It matches the Rfam family "Bacterial small subunit ribosomal RNA", at positions 28 to 507 of the family's 1533-position model. The record is from RNAcentral.
GAUGAACGCUAGCUACAGGCUUAACACAUGCAAGUCGCGGGGCAGCAUGGGGGUUGCUUGCAAUCCCCGAUGGCGACCGGCGCACGGGUGAGUAACGCGUAUCCAACCUGCCCUUCACCACGGGAUAACCCGGCGAAAGUCGGACUAAUACCGUAUGUUGUCCAUUGACGGCAUCCGAUUUGGACGAAAGGCUUGGCGGUGAGGGAUGGGGAUGCGUCCGAUUAGCCAGACGGCGGGGUAACGGCCGAUCGUGGCUACGAUCGGUAGGGGUUCUGAGAGGAAGGGCCCCCACACUGGAACUGAGACACGGUCCAGACUCCUACGGGAGGCAGCAGUGAGGAAUAUUGGUCAAUGGGCGUAAGCCUGAUCCAGCCAAGUAGCGUGCAGGAUGGCGGCCCUAUGGGUUGUAAACUGCUUUUAUGCGGGGAUAAAGUGGCCCACGUGUGGGCUUUUGCAGGUACCGCAUGAAUAAGGACCGGCUAAUUCCGUG